RNAcentral lists this long non-coding RNA (33296 nucleotides) under Lactuca sativa (garden lettuce). The record is from RNAcentral. Lineage: Eukaryota; Viridiplantae; Streptophyta; Magnoliopsida; Asterales; Asteraceae.
GUUGGGUCGGUGUUGCAUGAUAUAUUUCAAUCGUCCGCUCUCACAGAACCAAACACCGCCGGUUGCCGGAGGCUAAGAGCGAUCUCUGUAACUCCUCUCUCCGGAGACCCAAACACCCCCAGUCCCAAUCCUUGGCAGGAGACCCACUAUAUGUCUUUAAUCCACGAAUCAUCAAGAUUGAUGUAAGUUUAAGGGGUUUCUGUACUAAGAUGCUGUAAGUUUAAAAUUGAUGUAGGGACGAGAAAAAUCGAAAGUUAAUUGCUGUUUUCUUAGUUCUCUCUCUCUCUCUCUCUCUCUCUCUCUCUCUCUCUCUCUCUCUCUUCUCAUUAGGGUUUCUUGUUUUACCCUGUCUUCGUCUCUCCAUUAUUUCGAUGGCGUUUUUAUUUCUGUAAAAAAACUGAGUUUCUGGGGUUAAGUAACUGAACUAGUUUCAUUGCAUCUUAAAAGGGAAGGAAAGUACAGACUCUAGCUUUGUUGAUCUUUUCGUUGGGGAUUUUCAUCUUUUUCCUUUCAUUGGGAGUUUUGCUGUAAAAUCUAAUAUAGCGUGUCUGUUGUGUUUAGAUGGUUUUGUUCUAGUGAAAUCCAUUUUCUUUUUGUGUGUAUGUGAUCCAUUGUUUUCUUUAAUAUCUUGCUUAAUGUUUAUUGUGUUUCUUGUUUCUCUUCCAUUGCUUUGCUUUUACUGAUAAAAGAACUUUUGGUCAAAAUCUUGGAUCUACUCAUGUUUUAAACAUGUUAGGUUUGCUUACUUGAUUAAUAUUGGCUAAUAACAACACAUAAUCUGCCACAUUUAUGUAUUUCUACCUUUUUCAGCUAUUAUCAUCUAACAAAUCCUCUUUUUGUGGCUAUUUGAUAGAAUAACUUAACAGGAGCACCUAGAAAUCUGGAAAAAAAGCUCACCAUUAUACGAUGCAGAUGCAAAGGUAAGAAGCUAAACUAUACUUUAUUACGCUUAACUUUCAUGGCAUUAAACUCUCACUAGUUUCGUUUUAUUAAGAUAUUCUACUUGUAAUUUUAGCAUUAUACCUUUAAUUAUAGGGUUAUGUUUUCAAGAAUUAACCUAUUAAGAAAUUCUACUUUUUAUCUUUUUCCUUAUAAAGAGUACAUGAAGAUUUAGCCUAUUAAGAUAUUGUCCUUUGAAAUUUGAAACUUUUUGAUUUUGGUUACCAGAUUAUAGCAUACAACAUUAUAUUUUGAAAACCUUGUCGACUAUAGUAUUCUAACUUCAAUUGCAUUGUUUAAUUCUUAUAGUCUCACCAUCUAACAUAUUAAGAUAUUUUUCUUCUAGUUUUUUCAUGUUAAGAUUUCAUUAAUUUUUUAUUGAAUCAUUGUCUCAUUUAGGGCAUUAUACUUCCAAACUCUUUCUUGCUAAGAUGUUCUAUAAUUUAUUUUCUAUUAAGACACUCUACUUUGAAAAUCUUGUCACAAGUAGCAUUAUACUCUUUUUUUCUUAACAAGUCAAAACUAACCUAUUAAGACAUUGAUUUUUUCCAUUAAUUUGUUUCAAAUUUUAACAUUAUAUUUUCAACACUAACAAGUCAAAACUAACCUGUUCAAACAUUGUACAUUGAAAUUUGUUUGAUUUUGGUUAUCAGUUGUAGCAUUAUACUUUCAAUUAUUUUCUUUUUUUAAAGACAUUGUAGUUUGAAAAUCUAACCAAUUGAAGAAUUAUACUUUCGAUUUUUGUUGAGUUGUACUUCAGUUUUUUUUUUUCCUUUAAGAGAUUGUACUUUAAAUCUAAUCUGUUUCAAAAAUCUGUUUGAUUUUGUCACCAUUAAUGGUGGUAUGUAUCUAUUCUUUCAUAUUUAUAAAUUUUAGUUUUUUUUUUCCUAUUAGACAUGUACUUUGAAAAUAUAAAGUUGUUUUUGUUUACCAAUUAUGACAUUGUACUUUCUUCUAUAUUUUCUUAUUAACACAUUACAAUUCCUAUUGUUUUUUUUCCUAAUUAGACAUUUUCCUUAUAUUUUUUUCCUGUUAUGACAUUGUACAUUACAAAUUUACACUUUGUUGAUUUUUAGUGCCAAUUAUGGUCUUAAAUUUAUAUUUUUUUUUCUAUUAACACAUUGUACUUUUAUCCUUUGCGUAAAAUUAUAUUUUCAAUUGUAUCUUUAUACUUUCAAAAUCUAACCUAUUAAGACAUUGUAAUGUUGAUUGUUUUCUUGUUAAGACUUUUGCAAUUAUAGAAUCUAACUUAUAAUAAGACUGUAUUAUAAAAAUCUAUACUGUUUUUUUUGUUAGUGGUUAUAUCAUUAUACUUACAAUUUUUUUUUAUGAAAACAUUAUACUUAUAUUAUUUAUCUCAUUAAAACAUACUUUGAAAAUCUAACCAUUUGCAACAUUAUUUUUUUUCAAUUCUAAUAUAUUCUUUGAAUGCAACUUUUCAAGAAGUACUUUUGUUUUUUCUUUUUUUAUUAUUGUAGUUUAAAAAGAUCAACUUUAAUUUUUGUUACCAAUUGUGGCAUUAUACUAAGAAGACUAUAAUUUGUCCUAUUAAGUCAUUGUAUAUUUGUUUGAAUAAAACUAAACCUGUUUGAUUUUAUUAACUAGUUAACAUAUAUAUAUAUAUANNNNNNNNNNNNNNUCUAACCUAUAAAGACAUUAAUUUUUGAAAUUUUUUCCAUUUUGGUUGCCAGUUGUAUCAUUACACUUUCAACAUAAUCUUUUUUUUGUUAUUAACUAUUGCAUUACACAAUUUAAUAAGACAUUUUACUUUCAACUGUAUUUAGUUCAGACAUUCCCUUUUAAAAAACCGACCUACUAAGACAUUGUACUUUGAAAAUCUAAUCUUAUUUGGUUUUAGUUACCAAAUAAUAUCUCAUUUUUUCAUUUUAAGAUUUCACUUUGAAAAUCCCUUUUUAGACAUUGUAGAUCUGUUUUUUUAUACACUUCAUAAAUCUAAUGUAUUAUUUUUGUUUUUCUUAUUAAUACAUUACACUUUGGAACCUUAACGUGUUUACUUUUGGUAACCAAAUAGCGUUAUGCUUCUCAUUAUUCUUCCUAUUAAGAUGUUAUGUUUUUAAUAUGUAUCUUUAUUUUAGUUCAGCAUAAUAGUUAAAAUUAUUUAUUAUUAAUAUUAUUUGAAAAUCCAUCUUGUUAAGACGUACUUUUACUUUUUUUUUUCCUUGCAGCAGGCAAAAAUAUCAACUUUAAAUAUAUUACCAAUUGUGGGAUUACACUUUCACUUUUUUCUGAUUAAGACAUUGUAGUUUAUAAUAAUAUAUGCUAUAUUUUUUGUAUUAUGAGAUUAUUUUUUGAAAAUCUAACCAAUUAUAAUAUUAUAGUUUCAAUUAUAGUGUUGUACUUCUAUUAUCUAUUAUAGUUAGACAUCGCACUUUGAAUAUCUAACCUAUUAAGACAUUUUUUUUUCUUAUGGUUACCAAAUAGCUUUAUACUUCUCAUUUUGUCCUAUUAAGAUAUUGUGAUUUUAAUAUAUUUCACCAUUUAGUUUCACAAAAGUAAUAUAAGUGCAUUUGUGGUUUGCUGUUUGGUUUUGACAAAUAACUGCACUCGACUCAACCCUAGUUGCUUCUAACUAUUAAUAGCCACUAUUUUUGUCAUAUUUAUCCAUUUUGAGGAUGAAGUGAAUAUAAAUAUGCAAGAUAUUCCAUAUUUUGAAAUUCCUAGGAUCUUGAACAAUUAAAAAUACGAACCUAGUAUUUGCUCACGUUCUUGUGCCUAAGGAUUUUCAGCUGUAUUAUAUGAGUAUGAUUUUUCUUUUAGUCACUAACCAAUAUUUAUUUAAUUAAUAAUUUAUUUCUUCAGUAUGGACUAACAUCUAACAUGUAGCAUAUUAUCUGGGAUGGACAUAGGUUUUGUUAUUGGUAUUGUUGUAUAAUAAAAGAAAAAAUAUAUCAGUAUUUUAAUUAAUAUUAACCGGAGACCAAGAAAAUGAAAUCAUAGUGUUAUUUAAAUUGAAUUUUAAAACUUUAAUUAACAUUCAAAACACUUUUGCAGGUUUUGCAAUUGACCAGUCAUUUUUCAUUUUUCUGCCCUAGCUACUUGAAUUACUACCUCAAAACACAUUUGUAAUACAAAUUGAAAGGGUACUUGUGAGAUUUUAUAAAACAUCACAUAUAGUAGUGUACCCCAUCAAAUGGUUGGACUCCAAGAGUCCAUGUUAAAAUGUUUCCAACAUAUGGCCAAUCCUAGGCAAACACCUAAUAUUGGCAUGAGUGUUGUAACCAACAUCGGAUUAUCGACCCUCUAAAUAGACCAAAUCAGACAACCUGCGAAAGCCACAUCAUACCAACACUUUUUCAGGACAAAAAGGAAGAUUUUAUCCCUAAAAACAACAAUAUAAAUAACACCUACAUGGAAGUUGUUAGUAAGACUUAACAUACUCUCAAACACUUCUGGAGUCUCUAUAUUCUACCUAGGGCAUUAGAGUGUAAUUCAGAGGCCCAUAUUAUGACCGACUCUAGUUUUCCCUUUACUAAUCAUAGGUUUUAAAGAUAUAUUGUCUCACCCAAAAGACGGCCCAUUUUAGGCCCAUAUUACGAGUGACCCUUGUUUUUCCCUUUUAUGUGUACUGUUCUUAAGGACACUCCACUCUAAUCUAAUACAUCUUAGUCUAUAACUUAUUAUACAACCUAAUCAUUUGACUAACUUUUAUUUAUUACUUUAUGAUAAUCUAAUUAUUUCACUAACUUUAUUAGUUAGUUAUUACAUUAUUAUUAUUUCACUAACAUUAUUGAACUUAUUUUUUGUAUAAGAUAAAUAAGCAACAACUAAUCAUAAAAUAUCUUUCACUAAGUUUGUGUUACUUGUAAAAUUCUAGUCGCGACUUAUAUAUAUAUUGCUGAUGGGCUUUGUUGCGAAUCCAUAAUGCCGCAACGGGAGGUAUUGUGUACUCUCCCUCAAAUUAUACAAUUACAUAGUGAUUGGUGUACACACGUAAAUGUAAGCACCUAAUGAUUUUGAAACUCUUUAGGAACUUUCCAAAGAGAAAAAAAAAUUAUAAAGCUUUCAUUUAGUCAAAAUUUAGAUCAUCACAUCAAACUUUGUUGACUAUUAGGAUGUGUCUUUGGCAUAUGCAUCCGGUGUUUUGUUGGUGCUAACUCAUUCUUAUCACCAUCCAAUGAAAACUAGAGUAAUGCUGAUGAUCUUCACCAUAGCCAAGACCAGCGGUUAUUGAUUGACAACCACAAUUUUCAUUACCCAUUACAAUUUGUAUAUGUGAUGUAUGGAUGAAACAUAAAUAAAAUUUUCCUCCAACAAUGAACUAUGUCCCAUUAAAAUUUUCUUGUUCAAGUUAAUUUAGUAAGAUCAUUGGCAUAUUGGCUCUUCGUUUAAGUCUAUGUAGUAUCAACAUUGGUCUAUUGGUUUCUCGUACGAACCCAUGAAGAAUGAACUAUGCCCAGUCGGUUCAUCGUUCAAGUCCAUGAAUAAUGAAUUAUACCUUGGAGGUUCCUGUUUUAAGUUUGAACAACUGUAUCUAUGAGGAGCUUGACUUUGAUGCUGAACACAUUUUGCUUUUAGGCGCACGUGGUUUUUUUUAACUAAAGGUUCAUUGAUCACUUUUUUUUAAUCCCUUAUCUCUUCCAUCAUUCUUAAAUAAUUAUAUUUGAUAUGAUUUGGUUGAUUGUUGAAUAUUUCUUUAAACUUUUGCUUAUGAUAUAUAGAAGGCUCCAAAUCAAUCGAAUCUAGAAUAGGCAAAACUGUAGUCAACAUAGAAAACAUCAUAAAGUGAUUAACCAGACCUAUAUCGACAUAAAGUUUGUAAGCAUAUGGUAGUCCAAAACAUGUCUACAAUUGACAUCCACAAUUCUCUAGAGUUGUUACAGAACCUCAACGUCCAAACAUCAAACAUCAUGUGCUUUCAAAUACUUUCCUACCAAUUCGAAUGACAAUUAUAUUUUUUUUGUUUGUGCAUCUUUAUUUUUGGAUAUACCACCACAAUUACAACAAAAUACUACUUUAGAGAUGAAACCAUUAGUUUAUAUUUGAUCGUUUAGUGACGACACGAGAUCUAUAGAUGGUAGAGAUUUAAUGACUUUAGAUCUGGUGGAGAUUUAAUGACAAAACAAUGUUAACAUGAGUUUUUCUCUCUCCAUUGUUAGGUCUUUAGAUCUCGUGGAGAUUUAAUGACUUUGGUGUAGAAUUUGACAUGUUCUUAAGGUUACGUCAUCGUCACUAAAUGAUAAAAGCUAAUAACCUGUGUUGCAGAAAUUGAUUGAUUAUCGCUAAUUGGACCUCCAAUGAUGAUAUUUAUUGCUAACUGGUCACUAUAAUCGGGCUUGGUCAAUGCAUGUCAAAGUCGGAAUUAAUCGGACCUAUUCUAGUUUGGUCAAUCCAGGUCAAAGUCGAUCUAAUCGGACAUAAUCAGACCUGAUUUGCCGAUUAAUCGCUUAUUUUGGAGGAUUAAAGUUAGAUUUAUAAAUUUUUGAAUAAUUUUCUUAAUAAUCAAUGAUUCCCGAUUAAUCUUUGCUUAGCCAAUUAAUCCUUAAUUGGUAGCCCACCGAUUAGCGAUUUCUGCAACCAUGGUAAUAAUUAAUGACUUUAUCUCUGAAAUAGUAUUUUGGUUGUGAUUAUGGUGGUAUAUCUAAAAAUAAAGAUGUACAAACAAAAAAAUAUAAUUGUCCAUUCGAAGAAUUGUUAGUAUUUGAAGGCGUGACUUUAAAGAUUUGCAACAACCCUCGAGAAUUGUCGACGUCAAUUGCGAACAUGUUUUGGAUUACCUUGUGCUCACAAGCUUGCGAUGUAUGUUAUAAUCAAUUUAUGAUAUUUUGUAUGUUAUUCUUUUUGGAGAAAGCUUGAUUUGGAGUCUUCUAUAUCUCUAUGAAUAUGGUGAUCUUAGUGUUGAUCAUCAAAUGUAAAGGUUUAAAAAAAUAUUCAACAGUCAAUCAUAUCAUAUCAAUUACAAUUAUUUAAAAAAGAUGGAUCCAUCAAAAAAAUUUGAUUAAUGAACCUUCAAUUAAGGAAAAUAAUUGUGGACGUCUCAAAAGUGAAUAGUUAAGCUUCUCACAAAUAUAGUUGUUCAGACUUAAAUCAGGAACCAUCAAGGUAUAUUUUAUCAUUCAUGGACUUAAACGAUGAAAUGACUAAGCAUAGUUUGUUUAUCAUGGGUGAGUAUGAGGAACCAAUAGACCAAUGUUCGUAACACAUAGACGUAAACGGGGAACGAAUAAACUUUGUAGAUUAACUUGAACAAGGAAGUACUAAUGCGACAUAAUUCAUUGUUGAAGGAAAUUUCCUCUAUAUUUCAUCUAAUACAUCACAUACAUUACACAAUAUAAUGGGUGAUGGAAAUUGUGGUUGUCGAUCAUCAACCAUUUUGUUUUCGGUAUGGUGAUCAUCAGUUAUACAUCACACACAUUUUGCCUUCAUUGUCUUUCUUUAUGAAGAUUUAGCCAACAUGAAAAACACAUUGGGUGCUUAUGUCUAAGACAGACAUCUUGAAAACCAACAAAUUUGGUGUGAUCGUCCAAUUUUUGACCAAUGAAGACUUGACUUUUUUUUUUUUUUUUUUCCUGUUGGAGAUGUCCUAAAUAGUUUCAAAAUCAUUAUGUCAUUACAUUUACCCUUGUGUACAUUGAUCACGACAUCCGCCACAAAGCCUUGUCAGUUGAUUUUUAUAAAAUUAUGUCAGUUGAUUUAGUUGAAAAACCCGAUUUUUAACCUUGGCAUAAACUCUAGGGUUUCGAUUUUUAUAAAAUUAUGUUGUUUAAAGUGGUUUUUCUUGUGAGUUGAUUCAAUUAAAAUCAUCUGAACCCCAACAUGCCAAAACAACAAUGAUACCCUAUGAGUCGAUUUUAAUCUUCUAACCCUUUAAUGUCACCUUAUAGUCUUCACCAAUCCCCCUUGUGUUGAUUGAUAGAAAAUUCAUUAAGUAUUUCAGCCAACACUAGAUUAUUGACGUCAAUCUUAAAGCCAAUCAUUGCCCUAAUAUUUGUAGUAGCCUUGGUUUCACUAAUCUUCUAUGUGGUGUUGUAAUCGAUGAUUUGAGUGGAAGGGAUAGGGUUCUAAGCCGACAUAUGAGGUCUGAGCUCAAUAGGGUUCUCAUCACCGUUUGUGAAUAGAUCAUGGAUUGGGAACUGCGACCUAUGAUUCAAGAUCUCGGAUACGACACCUCUUGUUAGAAGAAUAUCCGUUCACACUUGCUUGUUAAAAGAGUUGGCAAUUGGAUCAAGUUUUAUCUACAAAAAAUGAAAAUACCUUAUGUUUUACGCUUUUUUUUAUGUGCUCGUGAAAGAAUCUCGUGUUUUCGUCCCUAUCAACCAACCAUUUGAUCUGGGAUUUUUGUUUGAUAUCAAGAAUUUUGUUUUUUUUCCAUCUCAAUGAUCGAUUUGUAUCCUGUAAUUCUAGUCUCAAUUUCUUUAUCAGUUAACAGUCUUGAUUUAGCUUCAAAAUCAAAUGGUCCAUCAAUUUCUUGAAUUGCAAGAGUUCUUUCUCCUCCUUUGACUAGCCAGUAGCUCUACAUUGUUUCUAUCUAGAUAUGUUUGAGCUUGGCUGCCAAAUACAUAUUAGGUGUACGAUAUCCAACAGAAUUAUUCCAUUGGAUAUAAAACCCUUCUUGAACCUAUCCCUCAACAUCCAGGAAUUGAAGAACCCGAAUGGAGACAGGCCAAAAUCAUGACGAGAGGAGGACUUGAGAAAAAGAUAGUGGUCCGAAAGUUCUCUAGGAAGAGUUGUUAACUAAAACAUGAGGGUUAAGGUUGAGAAAAGUGGGAUAAACGAGAAAUCGCUCAAGUUUAAUGAGUUUAAGAUCUGCAUUGCGGAAGCAUGUGAACCGAUAACCCCUCAUUUUGAUUUCUCUAAGCCCUGUCUAAUGUAUGAAAUUAUUAAAGUCUACCAUUUCUUGAGCUUAAAAUCAAGUUGAUUCUCUCCUAUUUUAUCCGCAUGACAUUGAAGUCUCCCAUCGCAAUCCAAAUACCAGAGUUUUAUUUAUUUAUUUAUUUAUUUAUUACCGUCAAUUAACACCUUCCACAAUGUUGCUUUAUCAGAUGUAGAUUGAGGCCCAUACACAUUAGCAAAGAUCACAGGUAUCUCGAAUGCCAUUCCGGAGUCCUAUGUUAAUUAACUAGUGUCUAGUGGAAAUAACCUCAUUAGAAGUGAACAUGUUUCUGUCCAAAACGUUAAGUAAACUGUAACAUCCCCCUCUGGCACGUAUCACAAUAUUGUCCGUUUUGGGCCACUCGGCACGAGGACUUCCCAGGGGGUCACCCAUCCUGGUACUACUCCCGCCCGAGCACGCUUAACUGCAGAGUUCUUAUGGGAUCUGCUGCCCUCACGGCUUUAAAAUGCGUUGUGUUAGGGAAGGUAUCCACACCCCUUAUAAGGAAUGCUUAGUUCUCCUUCCCAGCCGAUGUGGGAUCAGAUCUAACCCACUUUCACCCCCUUUAUAGGGUUUGACGUCCCCGUCGAACACAUCGACCCGUAACCUGGCUCUGAUACCACUUUUGUCACACCCCGCUAAAGCGGAAAUGCAAGAUAUGAUAGCGAUAAAUCACCAUAGCAGUAUUUAAAAGUUUACAACCCAUAGCUUAAAAAGAAACAAAGUACAAGUUUUCCAAAACACCAUUGUUCAAAAUAUAACUUCAUAAUAGCUUCAACACGAUGUUCAACACGAUGCAGCAUGCUCUAUGAUGAUGAAUCUUUACAGCCACUUACUAAUUAUUUCCUGAAAAAGCAUGUAAAACGAGCGUCAACUAUGAAAAUAGUUGGUGAGUUCACAAGUUUAUAAAAUCGAGCUUGAAAUAAGGCUUUUCGUAAAUACAAGUACAUUGCUUUAAUGAUAAACAAAGUUGAUUGCUAUUAAUGAAUACAAGUUUAUUGCUAUAACGAGAAAUGAGUUUGUAUGUAUAUGAGCAAACAAUGAGUCUCAACCAAACCUAUGACUGAAGCCCUAUCGAGAUCUAUGCUUAUCGUUCCAUAGAUGAAUAUGGUAUCAUGCACUCCAGCGAUAGGGGCGAGUGAGGAGUUGUCAAUUCCUAAUAGCGCUAUCCAUAAUGACCAUUGGCUCAAAGAGUUAAUGGUUAGAGAUAAGGGAAGGGCCUUAGUACGAUAAGUUCUCAUGUUCCGUGUUGCAUAGACAUACAUAAAGAAACAUAGCAAUACAAUAGCAAUCAUGUUUGAUACAAAUCAAUUUAAAUACAACAUGCAAAUUAUAGUUUUUCUGGACAUGCUUUUCCACCCCAAAACAUAAAAACUGAAAAUAGGGGAGUGCGUGAAUACUCACAAUGUUUCGUGUAGGUACAAGUAGUGCCUCGAGAUGCACCAACGUCUUUACUACCAGGACCCUAUGACAUCAAACACACACUAGUGAGUUUCCAUGUCGUAAUUUAAUGCUAAUAUACUAAACUCUACACAUAGUGAAAUGCCAAUAGAUCGGAAGNAACUCUACACAUAGUGAAAUGCCAAUUUAUGUUUUAGUAUUGGAUUUUAUAUUAAUUAGUUACACUUUUUCAAAGUUUUAAGUCUUUAUAACAACAUAAAUUCACGAAAAAUAGCAUUCAAAGGAUAAAAAUUUUCAAAAUUUUUAUUUAACUGUUAUUACACAAUACUAAGCUGGGAAUAAUAUAAAAAUGGAUUUCCAAGCUGUUUAAUUAUAUUUUAUGAUUUUUGAGCAUUUAUUCCAAUAAAAAUUGAAAUAAAUAUAAACCAGUUUCCAAAAUUAUCCAAACUUUUUUAUUUGACUGUUAUUAUACAUANNNNNNNNNNNNNNNNNNNNNNNNNNNNNNNNNNNNNNNNNNNNNNNNNNNNNNNNNNNNNNNNNNNNNNNNNNNNNNNNNNNNNNNNNNNNNNNNNNNNGGGGGUGCCGGAUUUUUGAGGGUAUUAAAGUGCCCUCUCUCUCUCUCCUAAUUCAAAUUAAAUAAUUUCCCUCUUCAAUUUUAUAAAACCAUAAUUUUUAUAAAAAUGAUUUUUUAUGUAAUUCUCUAUUUGUUUAAAGAUCUUGUUUUUAUCUAUUAAAUUAUGAUUAAUGUAUGAUAAUUUAAAUUUCUAUUUCAUUGGUAUAAUCCAUAAUUUGAUUAAUAAAAAUUUGAUAUUAGGAAGCUUAUAGCCAAAUUUUAUAAAGUUUUUAAGCUUUAAGAUUUAUAAAUUUGGAUUUUUGGCUCUUUAGGGUUUUUGGAAUAUUGUUUGAUAUUCACCAUCAUAUUGAAAUAUAAUUAGAAUAUUUUAAUUUAUUUUUAGGGUUUUACACCCUUUUUCAAUUGUAACAAAGUUUGAAGUUUCAUUCUAAUUAUAGUAUUGGCAUUUCCUAUUGUAGUUAAGCAACUUACUAGAAUCGUAAGUGUCAAGUAUAUUAGUCCUAGAUCUUAGUUGGAUCCUAGUUUAUGCAAGAUUUUGACCUAAUCUUUACUACUAGGCCAUGGCAUGUUGUGCAUGAAUGGUUUUUAUAAAGAUGCAUGAGUCCGAGAAUGACCUGAAUUGACAGUUGUCACAGUUAUGUGGGUUAGAUCUGAUCCCACAUCGGCUGGGAAGGAGAACUAAACAUUCCUUAUAAGGGGUGUGGAUAUCUUCCCUAACACAACACGUUUUAAAGCCGUGAGGGCAGUAGAUCCCAUAAGAACUCUGCAGUUAAGCGUGCUCGGGCGGGAGUAGUACCAGGAUGGGUGGCCCAAAGCGGACAAUAUUAUGAUACGUGCCAGAGGGGGAUGUUACAAAUGGUAUCAGAGCUAAACUUAUAGAGAACAUCGGUUUUUCUUUAAGAAAACACAACCUAUAACUAAAACUUACAAAGAAAUUCUUUUUACAUCAAACAUAUUACUAGUAUAAUUAGGUCGGGAGUUGUAUCAUUGGACCUCGAUUAAACAUAGCCUGAUCAUCUAUGUUUAAUUAAGGAAAGAUUUAUACAAAGCCUGAGCUAAUUAUAAUGGGAAUAUGUUCAACAAAAUUUUUGAGAAAACUUUAUUUCAAAAAUUCAAAAGGUUAAUUUUGGUGUGUAUAAGCAUUGCAUAUUAUAGGCACGCAUUGUCAUUUAUUUCAUAUCUCAUUAAAACUAUGUCUCAGUCCACUAUGUCAACAUCGUCAUCUUCCCGCGCUACCGCCUCAGCCGACGAGUCCGGCUACGUCACUAUUAUCCCUCGACGUAAUCCCCCCGCCUCGGUAGAAGAAGACCCAUCGGAGGACAUGGAAGAUACAGGAAACUCGGUGGAGAUCAGCAAUGACAACGCCCCGAGUCAACGACGCGAGGCAUCACCUGCAUCCGUGUUGCCACAGCCACCACUUUAUGGACUUCGCAUUCAGAGGACGGCGAGGAAGAGUGUUCCUAUUCCAGGAAGGAUAGCCACCAACACAGCAGGACUUUGAACGACAGGACCUAGCGGGGUAGGACCCAGCGUUGCAGGACCGAGAGCACCCCCAACACAACGAGUCAUAGGGAUACCUGUCAGGCAGCCAGGUAUGACCCCGGAGGAGUCCCGGAGACUGCAGGCGAUGGCAGCGGGCCUACGCCACAGUCUCGCUGUGAUAGCUGGACAUCAGGAGGUAUUGGAUGAAGUGAUGACAAGGAUGGAAAUCAUGUUUCAGCAUUUGAUGGAGGCUGCUGACACUGCUAGUGCUGCUAGACGAGAGGCAGGUCAUGCGAUGACCGCAUAUUAUGUGCUUGGAGGGCUAUUACUGAUUGUGGUGUUGAUGUUUCUUGUUGGGAUAGCGAUUGGCAUUUGGUUCUGAUUUCAGUAUUUUAUUUUAUUUUGUCAUGAAAUGAAAACCCAUGUUGGGUGUCUUUUGGGAAAAACAUUUAAAACUUUAUGUUGGGAUUGAUGUAUUGAUUUGGUUUUAAGAUUAUUUCAAAUGGUAAUGAAGAAUUUUAUUUUAUGUUUGAAAACUUUUACAAUGAGGUCAAACCCAAGAAUUUAUUUAGUCAAUGGUUUAAUAAAAAAAAGAAUUUUCUUUUUUCUUUCCUUUCUCAAAUCUAUAUGCAUAGUAUUAACGCAACCCAUUAAUUUGACAACACUUAUCGUUUUCAAAAUAGUAGUGAACUAAAUAUUAUACAUUAUUUUAUGUAUUUAUACGUAUUUCUACUCUUGUGUCAUAGAACCAUGUCAGGAAGGCCUAAUCGCGGGCGCCCACAGAACGAAACACCCGAUGUUGCUCAAGNGUAGCCCAACAACUCAUGGAAGCAAUCCCAAACAUUGUUACUCAUGUAACUGCAGGACUUAAUGCUAACCAAGGAAGUAGUGGAGGAAACCGGGGAAACAAUGAAAGAGAAUGCAACUACAAGUCCUUUAUGACCUGUAAACCUAAGGAGUUCCAUGGAAAGGAAGGUGCGGUCGGGUUGCUGAAAUGGAUUGACAGCAUGGAGUCGGUCCUUCACAUUAGCAAAUGCCUCGAGCGCAACAAAGUUGAGUAUGCAUCUUGCCUACUCCAAGAUAGGGCAUUGACCUGGCGGAAUACCCUAGUGCAAACCCGAGGCUGUACAGCGGCAUAUCAACUAACUUGGGAAGACCUAAAGAAGUUGCUGAUAGAGGAGUAUUGUCCCAAGGAUGAACUUCAGGAGCUUGAAUCUGAAUUCUGGAAGACCUCUUCGUGUUUCUCUUCCCAGAGAAAUUUUCUGUCCUUUUGGGUCAAAGAUGUUAAUGGUGGAGCAAUCCUAGAGAAAUUUUCAAUGAAACGUCUGUAGUACCCAGCUAAUCCUAGGAACUGUCGUAUUUCUGUCGGGGUUUUGGGGGCUUCCCAUUUCUUGAUUGCCUCGAUCUUAGCUGGAUCUACAUGAAUUCCUCUUUCGCCGAUCACAUGACCAAGAAAAUGUACUUCCCGAAUCCAAAAUUCACACUUAGUGAACUUGGCAUACAAUUUCUGCUCCUUCAACAGCUCCAACACUAGCUUCAGAUGUCUAUUGUGAUCUUCUUUGGUUUGCGAGUAAACAAGUAUGUCAUCGAUAAAUACAAUUACAAACUUGUCUAGGUAUGGUCUACAGACCCUAUUCAUCAAAUCCAUGAAAACAGCGGGUGCGUUUAUUAGUCCAAAAGGCAUGACUAAGAACUCAUAAUGUCCAUAACGAGUUCUAAAUGCUAUUUUGUGAAUGUCCCCUUCGUGAAUUCUUAGUUGAUGAUACCCUGACCGAAGGUCGAUUUUUGAGAAGUAAGAAACGCCCUGCAAUUGAUCGAACAAGUCAUCUAUUCGAGGGAGGGGAUAUCGAUUCUUGAUUGUCAACUUGUUCAGUUCUCUGUAAUCAAUACACAUUCGGAACGACCCGUCUUUCUUUUUGACGAAUAACACUGGGGCUCCCCAAGGUGAAGAGCUUGGUCGAAUAAACCCUUUGUCUAGAAGUUCUUGAAGUUGUCUGGAUAGUUCUUGCAUCUUGGAUGGUGUAAGGCGAUAUGGUGCUUUUGCUACCGGUGCCGCUCCGGGAAUUCAGUCUAUCCGAAAUUCGACCUGUCUGUGAGGGGGUAAACCGGGCAAUUCCUCCGGAAACACUUCGGGAUAAUUUUGAACCACUGGAAUCUCCUUGAGUCGCUUAGCUUCAGGUUCUCUUUCUAGCACGUGGGCCAUGAAUGCAAUACAAUUCUUCUUCAGGUAUUUGUGAAUCUUCAUGCUUGAUACUAUGUUUAAACAUCUUCCUGGCUUCUCACCGUGUAUGAUAAGGGUUUCUCCAUUAGGGAGAGGUACUCUAAUGACUUUCUCGUAACAACCAAUGUCCGCUCUAUUUUUGGAUAACCAAUCCAUUCCUACUAUCACAUCAAAACUACCUAGCUCUAUAGGAAUUAGGUCAAUGCUAAAGAGUUUAUCAGCUAAAUUCAAAGUACAACCAGGAAUUAUAUCAUUAGCCCUAAUUUCAUACCCAUCAGCAAGUUCAAUAGCAUAAGCAUUCCUCAUCUUUCUCAAUUUCAAGCCAAUUAAUGGUCUAAAUGCUAAAGAAACAAAACUCCUAUCUGCUCCCACAUCGAAUAUUACUGAUGCAAAAUGGUUGUUCAGGAGGAACGUACCUGUUAUCACUUCAGGGUUCUGACGAGCUUCUUCUGCACCAAUCACAAAGGCUACACCUCUUGACCGUCCAACUUGAUUUCCUUGGAAGUUUUGCCUGGCUUGGCCUUGUCCAUUGUUACCAGGCNCAAAAUGGUUGUUCAGGAGAAACGUACCUGUUAUCACUUCAGGGUUCUGACGAGCUUCUUCUGCACCAAUCACAAAGGCUACACCUCUUGGCCGUCCAACUUGAUUUCCUUGGAAGUUUUGCCUGGCUUGGCCUUGUCCAUUGCUACCAGGCCCUUUGUUCAGUUUGGGACAUGCCCUGCGGAGAUGAUCAAUCAGUACUCCCGCACUCGUAACAUGCCCUUUUUCCCUCCUUAUUCAGCUUACAAUACUUCGAGUAAUGGCCUGUUUGUUUACAGUUUUAGCACAUUGGGCACGCUCCCUUGUGAUGGAAGUUACACUUAUUGCACUUCGGAAGCGGUCUUGAGUACUGCUUUCUCUCCUGCACUUCCAUGACUUCCUGUUCUUGAGUUUUCAAUGGUUCUUGCUCCUGGGCUCUUACCAUAAAGUUUCUUGAGACUUUCAGCUUCCUCCCUGACUUGGCUCCAUACUUCUUCUCUCCCUGAUCUGUUGGCUUCCUCUUGCUACUAGAGUUUUCCUUUGUCGAUGCUCCCAUCCUUAUCACAUCAUUGGUUAGUCGAUUUGCUAGACUUACUGCACUCUGAAUAGUAGAUGGAUUUGCUAAGGUAACCAUUCCCCUAAUUUCUGGUGCCAGACUCCAGAUGUAACGAUCUAUCCGUUUCUCCUCAGGAGUAACCAUGUGAGGUACCAGUUUUGCUAGCUCAUGAAAUCGGACUGUGUACUUCUCUAUUUGUGUUCCAACCAUAGAAUGGCUCCAGAAUUUAGAUUCACGCUCCUGAAGUUCAUCCUUGGGACAAUACUCCUCUAUCAACAGCUUCUUUAGGUCUUCCCAAGUUAGUUGAUAUACUGCUGUACGGCCUCGGGUUUGCACUAGGGUAUUCCACCAGGUCAAUGCCCUAUCUUGGAGUAGGCAAGAUGCAUACUCAACUUUGUUGCGCUCGAGGCAUUUGCUAAUGUGAAGGACCGACUCCAUGCUGUCAAUCCAUUUCAGCAACCCGACCGCACCUUCCUUUCCAUGGAACUCCUUAGGUUUACAGGUCAUAAAGGACUUGUAGUUGCAUUCUCUUUCAUUGUUUCCCCGGUUUCCUCCACUACUUCCUUGGUUAGCAUUAAGUCCUGCAGUUACUUGAGUAACAAUGUUUGGGAUUGCUUCCAUGAGUUGUUGGGCUACAACUUGAGCAACAUCGGGUGUUUCGUUCUGUGGGCGCCCGCGAUUAGGCCUUCCUGACAUGGUUCUAUGACACAAGAGUAGAAAUACGUAUAAAUACAUAAAAUAAUGUAUAAUAUUUAAUUCACUACUAUUUUGAAAACGAUAAGUGUUGUCAAAUUAAUGGGUUGCAUUAAUACUAUGCAUAUAGAUUUGAGAAAGGAAAGCAAAAAGAAAAAUCUUUUUUUUAUUAAACCAUUGACUAAAUAAAUUCUUGGGUUUGACCUCAUUGUAAAAGUUUUCAAACAUAAAAUAAAAUUCUUCAUUACCAUUUGAAAUAAUCUUAAAACCAAAUCAAUACAUCAAUCCCAACAUAAAGUUUUAAAUGUUUUUCCCAAAAGACACCCAACAUGGGUUUUCAUUUCAUGACAAAAUAAAAUAAAAUACUGAAAUCAGAACCAAAUGCCAAUCGCUAUCCCAACAAGAAACAUCAACACCACAAUCAGUAAUAGCCCUCCAAGCACAUAAUAUGCGGUCAUCGCAUGACCUGCCUCUCGUCUAGCAGCACUAGCAGUGUCAGCAGCCUCCAUCGAAUGCUGAUACAGGAUUUCCAUCCUUGUCAACACUUCAUCCAAAACUUCCCGAUGCCCAGCUAUCACAGCGAGACUGUGACGUAGGCCCGCUGCUAUCGACUGCAAUCUCCGGGACUCCUCCGGGGUCAUACCUGGCUGCCUGACAGGUAUCCCUAUGACUCGCUGUGGUGGGGGUGCUCUCGGUCCUGCAACGCUGGGUCCUACCCCGCUAGGUCCUGNNNNNNNNNNNNNNNNNNNNNNNNNNNNNNNNNNNNNNNNNNNNNNNNNNNNNNNNNNNNNNNNNNNNNNNNNNNNNNNNNNNNNNNNNNNNNNNNNNNNNNNNNNNNNNNNNNNNNNNNNNNNNNNNNNNNNNNNNNNNNNNNNNNNNNNNNNNNNNNNNNNNNNNNNNNNNNNNNNNNNNNNNNNNNNNNNNNNNNNNNNNNNNNNNNNNNNNNNNNNNNNNNNNNNNNNNNNNNNNNNNNNNNNNNNNNNNNNNNNNNNNNNNNNNNNNNNNNNNNNNNNNNNNNNNNNNNNNNNNNNNNNNNNNNNNNNNNNNNNNNNNNNNNNNNNNNNNNNNNNNNNNNNNNNNNNNNNNNNNNNNNNNNNNNNNNNNNNNNNNNNNNNNNNNNNNNNNNNNNNNNNNNNNNNNNNNNNNNNNNNNNNNNNNNNNNNNNNNNNNNNNNNNNNNNNNNNNNNNNNNNNNNNNNNNNNNNNNNNNNNNNNNNNNNNNNNNNNNNNNNNNNNNNNNNNNNNNNNNNNNNNNNNNNNNNNNNNNNNNNNNNNNNNNNNNNNNNNNNNNNNNNNNNNNNNNNNNNNNNNNNNNNNNNNNNNNNNNNNNNNNNNNNNNNNNNNNNNNNNNNNNNNNNNNNNNNNNNNNNNNNNNNNNNNNNNNNNNNNNNNNNNNNNNNNNNNNNNNNNNNNNNNNNNNNNNNNNNNNNNNNNNNNNNNNNNNNNNNNNNNNNNNNNNNNNNNNNNNNNNNNNNNNNNNNNNNNNNNNNNNNNNNNNNNNNNNNNNNNNNNNNNNNNNNNNNNNNNNNNNNNNNNNNNNNNNNNNNNNNNNNNNNNNNNNNNNNNNNNNNNNNNNNNNNNNNNNNNNNNNNNNNNNNNNNNNNNNNNNNNNNNNNNNNNNNNNNNNNNNNNNNNNNNNNNNNNNNNNNNNNNNNNNNNNNNNNNNNNNNNNNNNNNNNNNNNNNNNNNNNNNNNNNNNNNNNNNNNNNNNNNNNNNNNNNNNNNNNNNNNNNNNNNNNNNNNNNNNNNNNNNNNNNNNNNNNNNNNNNNNNNNNNNNNNNNNNNNNNNNNNNNNNNNNNNNNNNNNNNNNNNNNNNNNNNNNNNNNNNNNNNNNNNNNNNNNNNNNNNNNNNNNNNNNNNNNNNNNNNNNNNNNNNNNNNNNNNNNNNNNNNNNNNNNNNNNNNNNNNNNNNNNNNNNNNNNNNNNNNNNNNNNNNNNNNNNNNNNNNNNNNNNNNNNNNNNNNNNNNNNNNNNNNNNNNNNNNNNNNNNNNNNNNNNNNNNNNNNNNNNNNNNNNNNNNNNNNNNNNNNNNNNNNNNNNNNNNNNNNNNNNNNNNNNNNNNNNNNNNNNNNNNNNNNNNNNNNNNNNNNNNNNNNNNNNNNNNNNNNNNNNNNNNNNNNNNNNNNNNNNNNNNNNNCCUACACUCUUCCACUUCUCUCUUCACUCCUUCUCCAAAAAACUCUCCCACUUCCAAGACCACUCCUACACAUCAGAAAAUAUUCACUCUCUGCCAUAAUUUCGAAAUAGAGAAGGCCUUGAAGUGUUCUUGCUUCUCUCAAGAUCAAAACCAAGGUAAACAACACAAUCCUCCCUCAUAGUUUCAUGAUUUUACUUCCUCUUCUUCAUGGUUCUUCUCUACUCUUCGGAUUCUAUGCCUUUCCAUGGCUAGAAAUCCUUACUUUUUCCCUUGUGGUUUGUAGAUUCUCACCAUAACACAAUGCAUGUGUUUGAGAUGGUGAAAAUCUGGGAUCAAACCCAUGCAAGGAGUGAAAAAGAUGCACAUGUGUUCAUGUGACUUCAAAACCGAGUAUUACAUCUUCUUCUCCGUUUCUUUUGUGUUCUUGCAUGACCAAAAGCAUUUAAACCAUUUCUAGUACAUCUUGGAUGCUCAUUCACUCCAUGCAUGUGCUAUAAAUCGGACCUUAACAGAAGCAUGCAUGUUGUUCUUGUCAAAACGCCCUAAGAAUGCACUCAAAGCAAACAGGGAAGACAUGCAAUCUGCCAGACUACUUUGUUCAGCUUUGAACGGCCAUAACUCGGUCAUUACUUAUCCAAAUCCUGAUAUUCUUUUUGUAUUGGAUAGUUUCACGAGUUAACUUUCAAACCCAACUGGUCUCACUGUAAAAUAUUAAAUAUCGGAUUUUUGGCAAUUUUUACAAAAUGGUUGCGCGAACAGCUCUUUUUCUGUGAUCACCAUUUUUGCCUUGCGUGACCAGUGGCCUUAAACCCAACCAUAAAUUUGGGGAAAAAUAAUUUAGAAACUUAACAUAUCCAGUGAAUGAUGGCUGAAAUUUCGUGGCUUAAAACCCCACAGAAUGUGCUACUCAAAUUCAUGAAUUUCAGCCACAUUUACAUCUCAUGCACUAUAAUGUGCAACAUUUCUUAACUUGUUUGGGUUCAAUACCCCUAUUUUCCCUUCUGAAUAAAAUUUGAACAUUUUUCCUUUUGAAAGCCCUCACAUGCAUGUGAUAAUCUGGAAAAUUUCUAGAGCUUUUAUCAUUUCUUUGAUUUAUUAAAAUUAUUGCAAGAAACCAAGGACAUAAAUCACAUAAAAUACUUCCAGAGGUCUAUAAAUCCGGAAUAGAUUCAUGGAUGACCCCUAUGGUGAAUAAUGACCCCUCACUAAAUUUCAUCAAUUUUUGUUGCUGUUUGGUAUGAUUUCCGAUUUUCUUUUUGUUUGGGUAUAAUAAAUCACAAAACCACUUUAGAGAGUGUGAAAAUUGUAUCUAACAAUUUUCGCAGCCCUUACCUGUGGUGGGUGACUCAGAAAAACAAUUUCAAAUUUUUUUUGAUCAUGCCUUACUAUUUUUCUCCAUUUUUGGUAAUUAUAAUGGCCUAAAAAUAGGAAAAAUAGUUCUGAUUAUCCAAAAUUCAUGAAAAUUUACCAGAACAUCAUGUUGUACAGUAGGAGGUUACAUACAAAUUUUGAUGAUUUUUCUCUACUGUAAACUAUUUGUCUCCUAUUUUCUAAGGUUAAAUACACUGAAAUACACAUAAAUACCCAAAACCGGAUUAUACAAUAUGAAAACCACUUUUGGUAUUUUUUCCAGAUUAAUUACACUGUAAAUGAUGUUACAAAAGUUUUUGGUAAUUUAUUUUAACUGUUUAAUAUUAUUUCUUCAAUUAAUGAUUAUUUAAAGGAAUAAAACAAGGAAAAAUAGAAAUACCCACUGAAAAAUAUCUUUUAUAUUUUUCCCAGCCUAGUUAUGUAUAAUAACAGUCAAAUAAAAAAGUUUGGAUAAUUUUGGAAUCUGGUUUAUAUUUAUUUCAAUUUUUAUUGGAUUAAAUGCUCAAAAAUCAUAAAAUAUAAUUAAACAGCUUGGAAAUCCAUUUUUAUAUUAUUCCCAGCUUAGUAUUGUGUAAUAACAGUUAAAUAAAAAUUUUGAAAAUUUUUAUCCUUUGAAUGCUAUUUUUCGUGAAUUUAUGUUGUUAUAAAGACUUAAAACUUUGAAAAAGUGUAACUAAUUAAUAUAAAAUCCAAUACUAAAACAUAAAUUGGCAUUUCACUAUGUGUAGAGUUUAGUAUAUUAGCAUUAAAUUACGACAUGGAAACUCACUAGUGUGUGUUUGAUGUCAUAGGGUCCCGGUAGUAAGACAUUGGUGUAUCCCGAGGCACUACUUGUACCUACACGAAACAUUGUGAGUAUUCACGCACUCCCCUGUUUUCGGUUUUUAAAUGUUUUGGGGUGGAAAAACAUGUCCUACUACCUCAUAAAUCGCAUGCCCAGUCGUACUAUAGACAACUAAACACCCAUCACACAUCUUUUAAAAAUAAAACAUGGUUACUCCUUUCUAGGCAAUUUUGGUUGUGCUUGUUGGCCAAGUCUUAAAAAAUAUAAUUCUCAUAAUCUUGAGUUCCGAUCAAAAUUGUGUAUCUUUCUUGGUUACAGCUCAAUGAAUAACGAGUACAAAUGUUUAGAUAAAAGUAUCAGACGUGUCUAUAUAUCACGAGAUGUAAUUUUUGAUGAAUCUCUAUUCCCAUUUGCAAGCUCAUCCUCCUACACCUUACCAUCUUCUACAUCCAAAGUUAUGACGUUUUCUCAAUUUGAACUGAAAAUUUUAAUGAUCAUAUGAGAAAUUAUGACUUAUCUAUGUUAUUGUCUAACAAUUCUAAUGCACGUGUAGACCGUUAGCACCUAUUCGAAUUUUUGACACAACUAGCAAUGGUGGCUUAUAUGCAAAACAACCAAUACAGGUGAUUCCUGGACCAAAUCAGCAAGACUUUGAAAUCAAUUCUACUGAUGCGACAACCAUAACCACAAACAAAGUUGUACCCACUCAUACCACAAGAACCACUACUAAUGAUGACACCACAACAGAUGUUGUAGGUGAUGCCACAUCUGCUUUCGUUAAUGACGUCUCCCCACAUGUAUCCACUCCGUCUCCAUCAUUCAUCACAACGCAUGUUUGUGCAUGAAUUUUUCCUCAAAAUUUCAAUGAUGGAACCAUCUCCUAUGAUCCUAAUAGAUGCACUUUUUUGUUGUUAAUAACUUCGUAUCGGCUAGCCCUCUCUAAGCUAGCAUGUUAUAAAUCCAGGGAGGCUGAAUUUGAUGCACUCCAGGAAAAUAACACAUAGGCUCUUGUUCCUUGACCACUUGGUGUUAAUUUGGUUAGUUAUAAAUGGGUUUUUGUAACAUCUAAAAAUCAUGAUAAAUUUUUUCAAGUUAAUUUAAAAGAAACCAUUGCUUUCAACCCAUAACUAUAUCAAAUCAAAUGUCAAAUACAAAUAGUCCCCAAGAUCAGAACAUCAUAAAAUCUCCCAAAAUGUAUCUUCGAAGGAUGCGUACGAUCACACCUUUGCCUUGCCACGAUCAUUUGAAGUACCUGAAACAAUAAACUGAAACUAUAAGCCAAAGCUUAGUGAGUUCCCCUAAAGUACCACAUAACACAACUCANGUACAUUUCCCCAAAUUACCACCACACAAACAAAUAACAUAUACAAUAAUGCAUGUUGGGUCCACAAUCUCCCAAUUGGCUUGACCUGGCCCACAACUUCCGGUUGGAUUGUGUUGUAUAUAUAAUGUACUAGUUCCACAACCUCCCGAUUGGAUUAUCAUGCCCCACAAGCUCCCGGUUGGAUUUCCCUAGCCCAUAACCUCCCGAUUGGAUUGCCUCGGGUUUGAUAAAUAACCGCACAAUGAAGUACAGUCUCAACCUAUGCUAUAAAUAGCGCGUUAUAGCGGUGCUAUAGCAGCAUUAUAACGUUUUUGCGGUGUUACUGAACCGCUAUUUUGAAAGAGCGUUUACGAAUAGCGGUGACGCUAUUAGCGGCGAUAUUGACCGCUAUUUACCGCGAAUCUCAUCAGCGCUAUAGCGGCGCUACAACCGCUUUUACAUUUUCGUACAUAUUGGGCUACAUUGACAAAGAAAAAAAACGAUUGUGUGUUAUUUCAAUAUUAAAUCUUUAUUUUUUUUAACUAGUUCACUAAACUUUUUUUCUUAAUAAGUCCAAAUAAUGAAUAUAAAUAAUUACAAACUACAAAGCAACAAAUGACAACUUCCCUUUCUCAUCUUUUUCAGUACCUAGAAACCACGAAUGACUUAAGCUGCGAUGACAUUUUGACACUUUCUAGUUUCCAUAUUAGUAUAUUAGAAUAUUAUAUAUAGAAUAUGUUAUGUUCUUAUAUGAUUUUUAUGAUAUUAAUUCUACAUAGUAUUCAUAAUCUAAUAUAUAAAGUUUUUAUAAAUAUAUAAUAUAAAAUAUACAUAAAAUUAAGAAACUGCUAUACCACUGCUAUACCACCACGAUAACCGCGAUUUCAAAUAGCGGCAUGUGACCGCUAUUGAAAUUUCAACCGCGAUAACUGCUUAGGUCUCAAACCAACCAUAUUAUGUCGACAUAUAACAUAUAUUCAAUAAACAGAUAAUCAUAUAAUCAAUCAAUAGACUCACAGGCGGAUUUACAAAUCAUGACCUCAUAACUACAUCCUAUAUACUAGGACUUAGUUCUAUAAGAUUAAUAUAACAUACCAACAUCCUCAAAACCAGUAUACAUAACUUAGUGGGCAGGCAUUCAUAACUUAGUGGGCAGGCAUCGGUGCCUUCGACCCACAAGUAUAGUGAGGAAACUCACCUCUCAUUCUGAAAAGAGCGUUGAACAGGAUAUAAAUCUAAAUGUUAGUUCAACCGGUCACCUAAUCAUCAAAUAAUGACCAAUCUCAAAUACCACUAAAAAUACCCACAAUACCCUUAGGUCAGACUUAGUCAAACCCUGUUCAAGGUCAAAGAGUCAAAAAGUAAACCGAUUUGACUCAAGCUGAGUUGUCCCGAUGUACUCAACUAUUAUGCCCAAUGUACUCAUUAUUCAGCAUCGAGGGCUUAAGGGAGUACGCACAAUGUACUCUGAAGUACGCCCAACGUACUCCGCAGCCAACUUUUCCCUUUUUGACGGGCUUAAUCCAUUAAUACUCUUCCUUCCAAACACAGAUCUAGGCUUAAAACAAUGCUAUUAGUCAUAAAGUUUCCACCUUUAUGACCCUCCAUGGCUAGACAAGGCCUCAAAGCUAAAACCCUAACUUCUUAUCCCAUUAAGACAUUUCAAUACUUGUGUGGAGGGAAGGAGGUCCAAGAUCACAUUUUAUCACUCAAACUACCCAAAAACGUACAAAGGACAACUCAUUUGGUCAGGGUGGCUCAUACCCAAAUGGACCAAGAUUAUGGGGCUAAUAAGCAUAAACAUCUAAAAUAUCUAGAUCUAGGGGUAUGAUCAUCAAGUUCAGAACUUUAUACCUCAAAAUGAAACUUGGAGGUGAGGUGUUUCAGGAUCUAAGUGAUAUUGAUCAUCCAAGGUGGUUCUUUAAUCUUUACUCGGCUUCAAAGACACCAAAACCCACACUUUCAAGCUUCAAAUGAACACACAAGAGAUUUGGGUUUUCUAUGGACGAAAUGAGGGAUGGAGGCUGAUGAGGGAAUGAGCCUUGGUGAGUUAAUGAUGUUUGUAUAGGGUCCAAACCAGAGAUGUUAUGGUUUGAGGUUCUGGCGGCACGUACGCCCAACAUACGCGAGCUCCGCCCAAAAAAUUACAAAAAUGCCACUUUGGGACAUUGUGUAACAAUUUCUCACACAAGGGCUAAAAUGUAAAUAGUUCUCAUACUUAGGGUUAAAAAUGGAAAUACCUCAGCUUCAUGAUAUUACAAUUUUCAAGCUUAAAGACAUCUAUACGGUACUAUUGAAAAGCUUAAGGCACGUCUAGUGGCUUAUGGUUCCAUUCAACAAUAUAAUAUUGAUUAUCAAGAAACUCUCAGCCCAUUCGUGAAACCUGCUAGCGUUUGAAUUCUCUUAUUGGCAGUUUCUCGAGGUUGGUAUCUUCAAGAGAUUGAUGUCACCAAUGCCUUUCUUCAUGGGUUAUUAAAUAAAGAAGUAUAUAUGCAGUAAUCACCAGGAUUUGAAGAUUCUCAACGACCUCAAUAUGUGUGCAAAUUAAAGAAGGCAAUUUAUGGUCUAAAAUAAUCUUCACGUGCCUAUAUAUAGGAAAAUAUUAUGAGUAGUGCCAUUACUCUUCAUCAACACAUGAGUAUCAAUAAUGGAUCCACUCUUGAGAUUCAUUUCAUCUUUGUCAGCUUUAACAUUAGGAUUCCAUACUAUUGCAAAACCAUUAAUGAUUGUAACGUCCGCAUUUCUCGCUAAGCAUAGUUAUGAGUCUGUAUAUAUGUUGUUCGCCGAUUGGAACCUCUAUGAAUUAAUGAAAGAGAGUUAUAUAUAUAUAUAUAUAUGUGUGUGUGUGUGUGUGUGUGUGUGUAUGUGAAUUUUAUAGAUAUUACAUGUAUAUAAUAUUUAUGUAAAACGCUAAUUUGAAGCUUAAAUGAAAAAAGUCUAAAAUAGAAAUUAAAAAUAAAAUAUUAUUUAAGAUAAAUGAUCAAAAAAUUGUAGUAAUAAAAAAAGCAAAUUUGUGCAUAUAAAAAACGCCUAAAUCUGAAUUCGUGUGAGGAAAUUAUAAUUUUUGAAGUUUCAGCGUAACAGUGUGUGACACAGAAACCAAAAUUAAAAUUAGACGAUUGUUAGGAAAAACAAUCUAAACGACAAUCGAAGAUCUCGUGAAUAGGAAUCCAUCGAUUUAAAAACAGUCUAGAACAGAGGUCGUAAGAGAGACUUAUGAUUUUUAUGUGGACUUUAACAGUCUAAGCAUGUUAAAAAUAUAACUUUAAAAAUAAAUUGAGAAUUAUCUAAUGGAUUCUAAAUGAAAGUUGUAGUGCUUAUCGAUAGCUACAUGUGGAUAUAAAGAAUGUCAAAAACGGAGCCCGUAGAAAGAAUAUAUUAAUAUUUGAAAAAAAUCGCAUGUGCCGACACGGUGUGCGAUGAACACUAACAACCCACCCAAAAUUUGACACGUGACGACCUCUGACUAGAACCACGCCAACACCCCUGACCAGAUGCAUGACAUGCCUAGACAAGGUGCACGACAUGCCCCUUUUCCCAACUAUACAUUGGAGUCGUUUUCAGCCUAUUUCUUCACUCCUUUCUGCCCCAAUCCUCUGGAAUCUCUUCCACCCCCUAGUCCCUAUACUUUCUAGUUCUCAACUACUUUAGCGAGGCCCCGCGAUAUCAAAGAGCCAGAGAAAUAGAAGUUCUCAGGUUGCACUUAACCCUGCGCAAUUACCAACUCUCAUUAGAAAACUCUAUAAGUUAAGUUGCAUGCACUUAUCUUAAUUCAAGUGUAACAUUUUCUAAACGUUAUUAUGAACCUAUAAAUAAGAUUUAUUAUUGAUUCCAAAUCAUGAUACUGAUUGAUCUGGAAGAGAGGAGAUGACUCUAAUGUAAAUUGGAUCAUCUCUUGCUUUGAGAACUUUCUUUCGGAAAUUCUUAAUGGUUUCUAUCAUACUGGUUGGGAAGAACUUUAAUUCUUGCAAAUUGCAGCUUGGAUAGAUGUUGUCUAUUAAUCCUGCCGAAAAGGCUUGUUGGAUUAAUCUUGGAUCUGCUCCUUCAAGGAAGUUGUACAGACUUUUGGUUUUCUUAUCUGUUGUGAAAAAUCUUUUGUGGAUAAAAUCUUUUGGGCUUUCCGCUCUAGCUUUACUCCAGAUUGUUCUGAAAUCUUCAAAGGAGAUUGCAGGGUUGUUGACUUCAUAUUCGACGUCAUUUGGGAUAUCAGCUCUUUGGUAUCUGUGUUCUUCUUUGAUCUUCUGGACUUUCGGCUUUAGAAGAGGUUUUUUGGUUUGAUUGGCUUCGUCAUUGAAGGUGGCAAAACUAAGUCGUGCACUUGUUUCAUUUCUGAACUUCUUGCAUGUUACUUUAUCGACCUUACAUAAGGUUUAUGUAAUUCCCCAGUCUGUAUGUAUUCCGGCGUGUGGCUCAAAAGACAGACUUAGGUAGCUCAAAAGACUCCUAGAAGAUUGAUAUCUUUAGGAAGGAGAAAAAAUGAAAGAAAAAGUCUCCGAGCAACUCGAGAAAUAUUUCUUUAAUCUUCAGUAUGAAGACUAUGAUAAACUUGACCAAAAACUCAUUCAACUUUCAUCCUUGGAAACUGAAGAAUGCGAAGAACUAUAUCAAAAAGAGCCACAACUUUUUGAUCAAUACUUUAAAGUAGCCAAAGUAAAUGAACCUGGUACCGAAUCAGAACAAGAAGAAAAUCCUAACAUAAACGCUGUCAAGUCUACUUACGGGAGUGAUGUCUAGGCUGGAUUUAGUGAGGUGUUUAAAGUGAGAUUUCCAAAAAGUAUACUUUGUAUACCAAACAGGCCCUAUCUCUGAUAUGAUCCUACCUGGUUAUUCCUUACUUGAUAGAUCUUGAUAUAGACAUCGGUAUUCUUGAGGAAUCUAGACUAUCAUUAUUAUAGUCACAAGAAAUGUGAAACUAAACUAAGACUUAGCACUAUAUAAAUCUAGGUUUAUUGAAAGGAUAAGGUGAUAGGUGAAGCGCUGCCCUAACCUCAAACCACCCACCCUUGUCAGGUGAGUGUAUAGUUACUUUCAAGUGCAUAAUUUAAUAAAAGUCUUUAUUAAAUGCUAAUUGUAAUAAUUAUACUAUGUGUUAUUUGUAUAACAAUAAUAGUACUGCUUGAUUAGGAUUUGUAUUGGAAGUAGAAUGACUUUAACUAUAGCCUUGUUUAGCUAUGAAAAUAAGGCUUAUAAAGGAUGCCUAGCUCAAAUUAAGCAGAAUGUCGAAUAGGUCUCAUCCUGGGGUAGAGUGUGAGAUCAAUGCGAAGUGUAGUAGUCCUCCUCUUUUUGGAUGACGAGAAAUGGUUGGUCCAGAUCAAACAACCGACAGGUACGUUUUGGUCAUCGAUCAGAGUGGAUGACAAUACUUGACUAGUCUAGGCGGUCUAUUGAAUUACGUUGCUAAUGUGUAGUCAAACAGUUGCUCAGAUGAUUAAUCAGGUAAGGUGAUUCUUUUAGAUGGCCGUCGGAUUAGGAUUUGUGAAAAUCGAUUGAGCAAGGUAGAUGAUCUUACAUCAGAUUAUAUACAUCUAUAUUAUUUGGCAAAUGUUUUUUUUGCAAGAAUGUUAUUAUGAAUUAUUAUCAUUAAAAUAUUACGAGCUUGAAAACCAAUGCAUCUCACUAGGUUUCCUAAACCUGACCCACUCAAUUUAGAUGUAUCACAAUUCACAAGUAACGAAACUAAGGAUGCUGGAAACUAAUUAUGAUGCUGAGUAAAAUAAGAGAUGAACCUAUAUUAGUAUUUUAGGACCUUCUUAUUUAUGUUGUAACGUAUGUUUGGAUAUUAAUUGUGACAUCAUUGGUAUUUUUAAUAUAAUGAAAUAACUUAUGUUAUCUCAAAAAUGUUUUAAUUAAACUUAGAUUUUCCGCAACACAAUAACUUAAAGCGUAAAUAAAAAGUUUUAAUGUAACACCUGCAAAAUUCACGCCAAUUUAAAACUUUUCAAAACAUUUAAAACCAGCAGUUAUUACAAAUUCAUUUUCAGAAUAGUCUAAUAUCAGAGUUUUCCCAGAAACAUAAACAAAACAUGAGGAGCUGUACGAUCAUGCCUUCGCCUUGCUGUGAUCCCCUGAUGUACCUGAAACAAUAAACUGAAACUGUAAGCAAGAGGCUUAGUGAGUUCCCCCCAAAAUAUCAAUACACUGCACAUAACACAUAUACAAAUAACAGCAUGUGCUGGGUCCACAACUCUACAGACUGGAUUACCCAUGGGCCCACAAUGUGAGUCUAGAUUGCCUUCCGGGCCCAUAGCUCACAUCUGGAUUGCCACCGAGUCCAUAGUACGAGUCUCCCUCAGCUCGUAUCUGGAAUGCUCCUGAUCCCACAAUACGAGUCUGACAUGCCCCACCUGGCCCUCAGCUCGUAUCUGGAAUGCUCCCGGGUUUGUUGGUUACUGCACGGAGCAAUAUCACCUCAACCCACCCCACAUAAUAUGUCGACAUAUAACAUAACUAAGACGCAUACAGAUAAUCACGUAAUACUAUAGGUAGUCCUACAUAUCUACCUAAUUGGCAUAACAACUAGAAUGCAACACUAACUCAUACUCAACAUACUAUCAACUUGUAGGAAAUCAUAUCCCAUGGGCCGACCUUGGUGCCUUCGACCAUUUAGUAUAGUGAGGUAACUCACCUCGCAAGUAGUGCUGAAAUACUACAAAUCUCUGGCUGCUGUCUCACCGGGAAUCCCGAAUUGUCACAUAAUAAUAAAUACCAGGUUAAUACCUAACAUUACUCCCUUGACUAAGUGUCCUCAUAACUCAUUAAGUCCAUUCCCUUUUGUUGGGCCAAAACCCAACACCAAGUCCUUAACUUGACAGUCCAUAUACAUAAAUCCAAUAUUGGCCCAAUUUACUAAAUUGGGCCCAACCUCCUUAUUGGGCCUAACCCCAUGAUCCACUACCGCCAAUUGGCCCAAAACAUCUUAUUUACAAAGUUCAGCAAAGGCCCAAAUCUAGUUAGUCCAUAAAUAGCCCAAAACCUGAAGCCCAUUUGCCAAUGGCCCAACGGAGGACGUACGCGGGGCGUACUCCUCUGGUACGUGGGGCGUACUCAUCCAGACGUUGACCACCAUCGGGGUGGUUGACCCAGUACGCUGGCCGUACUGGAUUUACGCUGGGUAUACUGGACAGUUUGCCAAAACCUUGUUAAGUGCUUAAUGGCUUAAGCACUUAAGCCCAAACUUCAGAUCCAGAGAUCUAUCAUGCCUAGGAUCCAUAAAGUCGUGAACUUUAUCACUUUGGACAUCCAUAAAGUUCUAAAUGCUUGGUCUUAAUCCAUUAAGACCUUAUCCUUCCAUGCAUGGGACACCUUCAGCUAAUGGGACCUCAUUUUUAUCACUCAAGGUCCCUUCAAGAGUCUAGAAGGACAGUCCUUUUCGUUCAAAACACAACAUGCACCACCUUGUGAUUUUUGGGACAAGAAAUGGGUCUUUUAAAGCAAAAUGGAGAGAUCUAAUCAUAUAAACAUAAAGUUUGGAACUUUAUACCUUCUGGAGCUUCUUGGGGCUUCUUGUGCACGAGCUAACUUCAGAUUUACUAGCUUGGUUUCUUCCUUCAACUCUUUGAUGCAAUGGUUUCCUCUUAAGGCACUCAAGAACACACCAAAAUGAGCUUAACACACAAAGGGGAGGCUAGGGUUUGAGAGAGACGAGUUUGAUCUGUGGAGGCUGGGGUAAAAGAGGUGUUGGUGCACAUUAUGUUGCUUAUAUAGGCUCCAAACCCUAAAUAUUAGGGUUUCACCCAGAUAGUAGUACACCCAACGUACUCAAGUGUACGCCCAUCGUACUAAGGAAAACCUUAAUACGCUUAGCGUACUCUUAUGUACGCGCAACGUACUCCUUUUUGGCCCAAGUUUGCAAACUUGAUCCUUAAACUUAUCUUGGCUCUUCACUUCCAACCCCAAGCACCAUAAAUGACAAGGUAAUGAUAGAAGAGGGUUCAGGAAUACCUACUAAAUUCUCGGGAUGUUACAUUUAAUUCGUUCUGAAAUUUUGGGGAUGUAACAACGACGUCCUUAGUUUCCAACAAUAACUGAUCAACAAGUAUUCCUCUGUUUUUUAACCUAAUUUUCCCUUUUGAAUUUGUAAGUUUGUAAACAUUUUUUUGAAGCCGUAAUAAAGGUAUUCAACGAUCUAACACUACACUUCUAAGUCUAUAUACAAAUGUUGAUUGUGCUGGAUGUCUAGAUUAUCGCAGGUCUACCGGAGGUUUUACUGUAUUUCUAGGGCCAAAUUUGAUUUCUUGGAGUUCUUGCAAGGAACCCAUCGUAUCAAGAUAAAGUACAGAAGUUGAAUACAAGGAUCUUGCAAAUGGUACAACAGAAGCAACAUGGGUGCAAUCUUUUCUUAAAGAAUUGGGAGGUCAAUAGUUACAACCACCAAUAUUAUGGUGUGAUAAUCUAGGAGCUACUUAUCUAACAGUCAAUUAUGUGUUUCAUGCACGUACGAUACAUAUAGAAGUGAAUUCCAAUUUUGUCAGAGAGAGUUGUAAUGGGCGCUCUUGAUGUUCGUUUUAUAGCCUCUAGUAAUGGUAGGUAUCAGAUGGAUUCAUAAAGCCAGCAACUUGGAACAUGUUAGAUUGUCUGAGAUACAAUUUGGACCUAAUCGCGGUUAAGACUGGAGGGAAUGUAAACAUGGUACUUAAUGUUGGUGAUUUUAGUGUCACCAUGUCAUUUUAAGUAACUGGAACUAACAUGUGAGCUAAGGGGCUUCAUAAUUUGUAUUCUAAUAUAUGUACGAGAUUGUGUGGAGUGCACGCAUGUAUAAGAUCGAAUUAGAAGUCUGUUCGACGACUAGUCGGGGGUCCGGGGGCAGCGUCCUUGGGUCCAGGGUUUCCAAAGGGAUAGCGCCCCGCCCCUAGCGGGGUCCAAGGGGUAGAUCCCCUGGCUCGAAACAUAGUGGAAAAUUCAAUUUCUUAAGGGUGAUUAUGGUAAAACUAACGAAACUCGUUAGUUUUGGUAACCUUAAAUCCUCAUUAAAUCCGGAUUGUUAUGACUUGCUUCCAUAGCAACUAAUGACGGCCCAACCCUAAUGAAACCCUAAUCUCAUUUAAUAUAUAAACAACUCUUCCUCUUCAGAAGUGGGUUACAAUCUUAAGCUCUCGUUUUUCAUCAUACUUUCACAAAAUUCUCUAGCAUAUUGGCUUAUGUUGUGACAACCCAGAAUUUUCAUUCGGUCAAACCCUAAAAGUCAAUAACUUCAUAUUAUAAGUAAUGUUCACUUUUACUUGUUUUUAGGAAAAAUAAGUUCAUUUGAUUAUUUUAAUAAUAAAUCUUUAAAACGAACGGGUGAACGGAUGUGCCGUCUCGGGUCUCGAAUUUUCUAAACCGCGAAUGCCACGUAGCUUAGAAGUUCACGACCAAAAUUUUAUGUUUGGGUCAUAAACUACCCCCAAAAAACGUAAACUCAUGCCUUAAGCAUGAGUUUACUCCCCAAAGUGCAACACUUUUCAUUUUCACCCUAAAAGAGUAAACUCAAAACACCCUCAAGUAUCAUCCAAGAUUUAAUUCAAGAUCUUCAAACUUGUAAGUGUUCUAGCCAUUUCAAGUUGGUAUAACACUUAAUCUAGUGAUUGUACAUCUUUUCAUCAAUCCAUUUUUGUGUUUUGAUUAGAUUUCCAAAAACACCAAGAACACACACUAAGUGUUCUUGGACUUUUAGCUCAUUUCAAGCUUCCUUAUAGUAAGUACUUCCAUCCUUGAGUCUUAUUAAGCUUGUAUUACAUGUUAGCAUCAAAGAAAAGUCCCAAGAACACCAAGAUCAAGGUGUUCACGGUUUUGGGAGGCUCCUAAAACCGUAAACACCAAAUAUGGUGCAAAGUGGUGCCUUAGAGUGCCUAGAUGCUUCAUAAUGCCUAAGGGACUUGUCUAGAUUCAUCCUUGAUGAGUUUAUCACACAAAAAGCACCAAAACCUUACAUUUUUAUGUGUUUACGGUUUGGGGAUCUCCCAAAACCGUAAACACCCCAAAAGGUGUAUAAAAGUCCCAUAAAAGUCCCAUGGUUAUUCCUUAUGUCUAAAUCUAACCUAGACUAUUGCCAUGAUUGAGCUAAGGACUUGAAAACCCCCAAAACCAUAAACUUAUGGGUUUAAGGUAGUAAACUCAUGAGUUUAAGGUAGUAAACUCAAAGGAAAACGGUAAAGGGACCGUAGUGAAAUGGUGCCCUAGAUCCUUUCAAAGGCCUAACCACCAAGUAGAAAUGCUUCAAAGGACUUGUAAAACCUCAAAACAACAUAUGGUCAUAAAAUGUAGAGUUUAAGACUGUAAACCCUUGAGUUUACUGCCGUAUACUCCUUGGGUAAUGGUCAUUAAAACCGUAAACUCCAGAGGAGUUUACCCUUGAACUCCAAACACUCUAGCUUUGCCCUACAAACACUUGGAUGCAACCCUUGUGAUCUUUAACACUUGAAACAAAGUGUUUUCAUGUUCUAGAGUGUCCCAACUUAAUUUAUUAGUUAUAAAUUGGCUAAUUAGUUAUAUAUAUGUUCAUUAUAUGAUAACUAGGCUCGUGCGUGUGUACAAGUCUCCAUUUGUCACCUAGCACCGUAUCCGACACUUCAAUCCAAUCCACUCACUGCAAGUGAGUUCAUACCCAUUUAACUAACCUUUGAAAUACUUUUAAAUGUUUUAAAUGCUUUUAUGGGGGGAGGGGAAUACAAGUUGAGUACUUAUAGUUAUUACAUCAAUCACAUGUGAUUAAUAACUACAAAACCAAUGAUUUUUCUUACUAUUCAAACUGUUUAUCAAACUGUUUUGCUUCAAACUGUUUAUCAAACUCUUUUACUUAUCAAAUACUUUUACUUAAACUCUGUUAUACUUAUUAUCAAUUACAUGUCCAUGUAUGUAUAGUUAUAUAAGCAAUGUUUAAAAGGCUUAGGAAAGCUUGCCCGCCCUAUUUCCUUUUCGCGCUUGAGAUGUGGUCUGGUGGGAUAUCGGGUGUCCGUCCGAAGGUCGUUUAAAUAUUAUUUAUAUAUCAUGUAUACAUAUAUAGUCAUAAAAGGUCCUUCCAGUCAAAUUCAAUACCCUUGGGUAGCAAGGGUAUACUUCCAUAUUCAUACGUACAAGUUAUAUUACUAGUAAACUACAAUAGGCGUAGUUUAGGGUUUUACUAAUACUAAUACAAGAACAAUGAAUCAUACAAAGAGUCAGUUCAUUCAUGAGUCAUAAUACAUAGCGAUGAGAAACAAACAUAAUACAGGUGGAUUGAGGCUCGGAGGGUGCACCAGGCCGACUGAAGGCCCGGUGCGCACAGACCAGUCAUACUGUAGACUCAGAGAGUGGACCGGGUGAAUUGAAGGCUCGGAGCGGGCGGACCAGUCACACAGUAGACCCGAAGUGUAUGGCUGUUCUGUGUUCUGAUAUGAUAUGCCAUGAUAUGCGAGUAUGGUAUAUGUGGUUGGUAUUCUGGGGGUAUCUCACUAAGCUUUCGGGCUUACAGGUGUGGUUUAAUGUUUUCAGGUUAUUCAGGAGACCGUGGCAAGGCAAAGGCGUGAUC